This 433-nucleotide ribosomal RNA is filed under the name uncultured bacterium. Its description in RNAcentral is "partial 16S ribosomal RNA". It matches the Rfam family "Bacterial small subunit ribosomal RNA", at positions 29 to 507 of the family's 1533-position model. The record is from RNAcentral.
AACGAACGCUGGCGGCAUGCCUAACACAUGCAAGUCGAACGAGACCUUCGGGUCUAGUGGCGCACGGGUGCGUAACGCGUGGGAACCUGCCCUUAGGUUCGGAAUAACUCCCCGAAAGGGGUGCUAAUACCGGAUAAUGUCUUCGGACCAAAGAUUUAUCGCCUUUGGGUGGGCCCGCGUUGGAUUGGCUAGUUGGUAGGGUAAAAGCCUACCAAGGCGACGAUCCAUAGCUGGUCUGAGAGGAUGAUCAGCCACACUGGGCAUGAGACACGGCCCAGACUCCUACGGGAGGCAGCAGUGGGGAAUAUUGGGCAAUGGGCGAAAGCCUGAUCCAGCAAUGCCGCGUGAGUGAUGAAGGCCUUAGGGUUGUAAAGCUCUUUUACCCGGGAUAAUAAUGACAGUACCGGGUGAAUAAGCUCCGGCUAACUCCGUG